This 24-nucleotide non-coding RNA is filed under the name Mus musculus (house mouse). Lineage: Eukaryota; Metazoa; Chordata; Mammalia; Rodentia; Muridae. The record is from RNAcentral.
UAGUCUGAAAAGGAAUCUGGAUGG